RNAcentral lists this ribosomal RNA (468 nucleotides) under uncultured bacterium. RNAcentral describes it as "partial 16S ribosomal RNA". It matches the Rfam family "Bacterial small subunit ribosomal RNA", at positions 28 to 507 of the family's 1533-position model. The record is from RNAcentral.
GACGAACGCUGGCGGCGUGCUUAACACAUGCAAGUCGAACGGAAAGGCCCUGCUUUUGUGGGGUGCUCGAGUGGCGAACGGGUGAGUAACACGUGAGUAAACUGCCCUUGACUUUGGGAUAACUUCAGGAAACUGGGGCUAAUACCGGAUAGGAGCUCCUGCUGCAUGGUGGGGGUUGGAAAGUUUCGGCGGUUGGGGAUGGACUCGCGGCUUAUCAGCUUGUUGGUGGGGUAGUGGCUUACCAAGGCUUUGACGGGUAGCCGGCCUGAGAGGGUGACCGGCCACAUUGGGACUGAGAUACGGCCCAGACUCCUACGGGAGGCAGCAGUGGGGAAUAUUGCACAAUGGGCGGAAGCCUGAUGCAGCAACGCCGCGUGCGGGAUGACGGCCUUCGGGUUGUAAACCGCUUUCGCCUGUGACGAAGCGUGAGUGACGGUAAUGGGUAAAGAAGCACCGGCUAACUACGUG